AUCAGCCCCAAAUCCUCUCCCCCGAGCCAAUCCUGUUCACCGAAGACUCCAGCCUCAUAAAUGUUGUGGCAUGCGGCAGUAGCACUUUGCUCUGGCGCUAGCUGUAGCUGGCAAAGGGCUUAAUUUCCUUGGAAUAGUCAGACGUAUGGUCUUUUGCGGACAGAGGAAAUAGUUCAAUUCUAGAGAAGUUGAACUAAAUAUCAUCACUUCCAUAACAGAUACAAUGUUCCAAUCUGGGUCAGGUGACACUCCCGCACAAGUAGCCCAGACUCUUCUCCUAGCUUCCCACCACUCUUCUCCAGAAACUCCUCCUGUUCUUUGGUUGGCUAGUGCCGUCGAAGUCGCCUUCUCCCCUUCUCAUCUCCUCCACCAGCGCCGCCGGCCGGAGUGAGAGAGCAAGGGAGUAUGUGCGUUUGUAGUUCCAGCUUGGAGGUUAUUGUUUGUAUCUGCUGCACUGCUCUGGAUGGCCUCCGCCCUUUUCCGGUCAUCUUCUCUGUCUCCGGCGGAUGAAUUUGAUGGGCAAAGCCAUCUUCUCCAGCCGGCUCCUCUUAUUCCUCCCUCCCUCUCCAAUAAAAGCUCCGCUUCGGCUCCAUGCAGAUCGAUUCCCCUUUUCUCCUCUCUUCCUUGCCAUAGAUCCAUGUCGAUUUAUUGCAGAUCUGGAUGCCUGGCCUUUGGUUCGUGGCUUGAUCUAGCUGCUUUCUUGUUGGCUUGGGAAACCAAAGCCUGCAGCAGUGCUCCCCCAUCUUUGGUGACCAUAAGCAGGCCAUCCUGUGGCUUUGUGGUUAGCCGAAAUCUUGAACAGUUGGAAUGUGGUUGCUCUGCAUCUGAUCUUCAGAGGUUGACGGGGAGCUCAAAGUUUGGAGACUUUUACUCUGUUGGUAGUUGAUGUGUGCUCAAGCUUCAUUACUGCUAUAUGUUUAUGUUAUCAUUUACAUUCUGAAGCUUGGGAUUAGGGGUGUUAUGUGCGUCAUCUCAAAGUGUUUAUUUUGCACUUCGGAGAUUAGAACAGUUGAUGAUCUUGCUAAAGUUGGUGGUUCUUGCUCGUUCGGGUUGAUUCGCCGAUUGCAGGUGAGAGAGCCAGUGUUGUUUGAUCCCUAGAUCCAACGAGUGAGGAAGUUUUAGAUUGAGCUCGAUGUUGCGUCUUUGAGAUCUACAACUCAAUCUUUGGAUACCUCUCGUGCACCUGCCUGCUCGAUGCCGAAAGAGUCGCUGGCGCUACGGAGAGCUUGCACAAAAGAGACAUUUGAAGAUUUCAACCAUGGCUGCGCGUCAGGGUUUUUUCAUCUGGCCCGCCAUCAGACUCUUGUUCAGGUGUGCCCGUGCGUUGCUACGGAACCCGGUGGCUGGAAUCAGCUGCAAGGGGGUGCGCAGGUGGUUGGCGAAGGCUGGUAAUGUCGGGACGCUUAGGGCGCUUGGGGAUGCGGUCAUGCGGCUGCACUGGGUUGCGAGGUCUAGUGAGGAGUUGACGCGGCGGGCAGAAUGGAGCAAGCAGCUCAUGGCGGCGUCAAGGUCGGCCGUCUCUCACGAGUCCGGCGGCUGGCGGCGGUGGAGGUGGUGGGAGAACAGGUGAAGCGGGUGGCGACGUGACGGCUUUGCUCGGAGUGCUGUGGCGUCGGUUGGCAUCGGUUGUAAGACGGAGGAGGAGAAAUCGGGCUGGGGGUGGAGGGGGAGGCUCGGGCAUGGGCUCACGCGGGCGCGGUGGCGUCGGUCGUAAGGUGGAGGAGGAGGAAUCGUGAAUAAGACGGGAAGGAGAAAAAAUAACGGGAAGUGGCAUAUUUGUUGUAAUUUUAACAAAGUUGACCUACCACGUCCGUGCCAAUCACCACCAACUCCAAUUUAAUAGAUAAUAGUAAGAUGCCCGUGCGUUGCUACGGAACAAAAAAAUUAUGUCAUACACACGUCAAGCAAGACAAAAGAUUUGGACAUCAAGUAAAUAAUUAACAA
This is a long non-coding RNA of Brachypodium distachyon (stiff brome), 1944 nucleotides long. RefSeq lists it as uncharacterized. The transcript has 2 exons. The record is from RefSeq and is a predicted model, not a curated record. Lineage: Eukaryota; Viridiplantae; Streptophyta; Magnoliopsida; Poales; Poaceae.